Molecule: ribosomal RNA, 253 nt
Filed under: uncultured bacterium
Lineage: Bacteria
Description: partial 16S ribosomal RNA
Rfam family: Bacterial small subunit ribosomal RNA
Source: RNAcentral
UACGAAGGGGGCUAGCGUUGCUCGGAUUGACUGGGCGUAAAGGGCGCGUAGGCGGAUAGUACAGUCAGGCGUGAAAUUCCUGGGCUCAACCUGGGGGCUGCGUUUGAUACGUGUUGUCUGGAGUUCGGAAGAGGGUCGUGGAAUUCCCAGUGUAGAGGUGAAAUUCGUAGAUAUUCGGAAGAACACCAGUGGCGAAGGCGACUUACUGGACGAUUGUUGACGCUGAGGUGCGAAAGCGUGGGGAGCAAACAGG